This 459-nucleotide ribosomal RNA is filed under the name uncultured bacterium. Its description in RNAcentral is "partial 16S ribosomal RNA". It matches the Rfam family "Bacterial small subunit ribosomal RNA", at positions 338 to 795 of the family's 1533-position model. The record is from RNAcentral.
CCUACGGUUGGCAGCAGUGAGGAAUAUUGGUCAAUGGCCGAGAGGCUGAACCAGCCAAGUCGCGUGAGGGAAGACGGCCCUACGGGUUGUAAACCUCUUUUGUCGGGGAGCAAAGCGAGUCACGUGUGACAUAUCGAGAGUACCCGAACAAAAAGCAUCGGCUAACUACGUGCUAGCAGCCGCGGUAAUACGGAGGAUACGAGCGUUACCCGGAGUUAUUGGGUUUAAAGGGUGCCAAGGCGGAGGGGCAAGUCAGCGGUUAAAUUACGGGGCUCAACCCCGUACUGCCGUUGAAAGUGCAUCCCUGGAGUGAGAGAGAGGUAUGCGGAAGGCGUGGUGUAGCGGUGAAAUGCAUAGAUAUCACGCAGAACUCCGAUGGCGAAGGCAGCAUACCGGCGCGCAACUGACGCUCAUGCACGAAAGCGUGGGUAUCGAACAGGAUUAGAUACCCCAGUAGUC